RNAcentral lists this non-coding RNA (148 nucleotides) under Homo sapiens (human). The record is from Rfam by way of RNAcentral. Lineage: Eukaryota; Metazoa; Chordata; Mammalia; Primates; Hominidae.
GCUGGGUGUGGUGGCUCACACCUGUAAUCCCAACUACCUGGGAGGCUGAGGCAGGAGAAUCGCUUAAACCUGGGAGGUGGAGGUUGCAGUGAGCCGAGAUCGUGCCACUGCACUCCAGCCUGAGUGACAGAGUGAGAUCCUGUCUCAA